Molecule: long non-coding RNA, 150 nt
Organism: Perognathus longimembris pacificus (Pacific pocket mouse)
Lineage: Eukaryota; Metazoa; Chordata; Mammalia; Rodentia; Heteromyidae
Exons: 3
Source: RefSeq, a predicted model, not a curated record
UGUGGUUUUGCAUGGAGAGAAAAUGAAGACAAGGGGCCAUUUUCCUGGGUGGACCUAACAAAGCCCUCUUGGAACACAUAUCCAGUCCAACUUGUAUUUUUCUUUCAAUGCAUUUCCCUAAGUUUGUGAUUAUGGUUUUUUGGAUUCUGG